This 253-nucleotide ribosomal RNA is filed under the name uncultured bacterium. RNAcentral's name for it is "partial 16S ribosomal RNA". It matches the Rfam family "Bacterial small subunit ribosomal RNA", at positions 524 to 776 of the family's 1533-position model. The record is from RNAcentral.
UACAGAGGGUGCAAGCGUUAUUCGGAAUUACUGGGCGUAAAGAGAGUGUAGGCGGUUUAAUAAGUCUGAUGUGAAAGUCUGGGGCUCAACCUCAGAAGUGCAUUGGAUACUGUUAGACUAGAGUAUUGGAGAGGAAAGCGGAAUUUCUGGUGUAGAGGUGAAAUUCGUAGAUAUCAGAAGGAACAACGAAGGCGAAGGCAGCUUUCUGGACAAUAACUGACGCUCAAGCUCGAAAGCGUGGGUAGCAAACAGG